GUCUUGAGAUGUGGUCUCUGUGGAGAGGGCUGAGGACAGAGAGGGCUGAAAAGCCCCUCCCUUAGCCCUGCACCCCUUCAGCAGCGCUGUGGGGUAAGCUGGAACCCUGCUGGGCCUCACACCUCACCGCCCUUCUUCUGUCUUCUGCGUGCUGUCUCUCAGGCCCACCCUCUCCUCUGGAAGCACUGGAACCCUCUUCACAACUCAUUUCUCUCUCACGUGGAGUCAUUGGUCCAACAGGAAAACAGGCUUGCAGAAGACUGCUGACUCACACCAGGUUCCACCAGAAACAGACUCUGAGAUUUUCACACAGGAGAAUUACUGGGGAACUACACCUGCUGAGUGAGGGGGCAAAAGAAGCAGAACUGGCAGAGAGAAAAGCUGAAGGACGAUGCGGUUGGAAGAGAGAGAGCUCUGAAGCUGGGAUGGCCCUUCAGAAGUGGCCCUCACUGAGGAGAAGCUCCGCUGAGGCCCAGAGGUCUCCCCGCAUGGGUCUCCGGGUAUCCGGAAGAUGGCUCUAUUGCCCUUAGACACGAAGCAGCAGGUACCAUGGCAGUCCCGGGACCCCCCUUCAGAGCCACAGCUCCUUCUGCUCUACAAGGAGGUCGAUUUCCAUGGAAUGGAGCUGUGUGACCCAUGACCUUGGUUGGGUAUCCACCAGCCACUUCUCUCCCAUGACAAUCCAUCCCAGAAGAUUAAUUCCUGCUAGAGGCCUUCCAGCCUGGCCCUGUCGCCAUCCAAGAAGUCAAGACGGGGCCUUCCUCGUAGACAGGGGUCAUGAUUAAAGAAGCCAAUUUCUUCCUGAGCUUCCUAGAGGCUGAGGGUGAUGCUCCCUCUGACCACACCAGAGAGGGCAGGCUGGGAUCCAGGAUUCAUCCAGCUGGGGACUUUCCAGCUGGGUCACCAGGGUCACUGAGGACAGAAGAAGCUAUAGGAGUGGGGUCAGCAACAGCCUUCAGAAGGACAAAGACAAUUAGUUCUUUGGAGUUGGGGAGGAAGAGCCGAAAAUGCGGGUUCCAGAGGGAAGAAGGCAGGGGAAAUCGCUUGUGUCUUUUGGCAGGAAAUGAAUAACAUUCAAAGAAUAUGCAAAAUGCCUUGCUAAUCAGCACCUGUUCACUUUGGAGCCAGUGCCUUGGGCCCGUGGCAUCUGAGGUCAAGCCUGGCUUUGGGUCUCCCCAGGGGCGGAAAUACAGUACAUCGGGAUGUACUGGAGUGUUGAAAGAGGCGCUGGUUCGAAGUGGGAUAGAACGAAGGAAAGUGCCUUGCUCCUUCCUGGCCCCUAAUGGUCUGUUACGCACCCCCAGCUCAACCCCAGGCAGAUGGCUGCAAAUUCUGCGGGGGCCUCCGAGCAUUCCCUUGGCUGGUAGCCACAUUCCAGAGCACCAUGUGUUUCAUCUCAAGCCCAGAAGGUUUGAGCUUCCAAGUGGAGCCAAAGAGAAAACCUGGCUCAGGCUGCAAAUUUCAGAGAAGAGGUGGGGGCCAGGAGAGGCCGCCAGGGAGGUUUGGAGCUGUCGUGUUGAAGAACAUUCAACUUAAUGCAAAGCUAGGUCCCAAACCUGGGACGCCCUCGUUCCCAACUCAAAACACCUCAAGGCACCCCUGCCCCGGGGAAAACUGAAGAGAGCGGCUGCUGCCCUUCGUGCUUCUCCAAUCUCCUGAUACCAGUUCUAAGCCUUUGCCUGAUCUGCUGCUCCCCCCACCCCAAUCCAUGGUUUGUUAUCCAGAGUGAGGAGGGAAAAAAAAGAGGGUGCCUUCUGGUCUCUCUCUGCCUCCCGCAAGGUGCCUGGACCUCAUCUCUCCUUGCCCCCAUCUCUGCCCUGAGAGGGGAGCUCCUCUGGCCUCAGGCUGCUGGACACCAGGGGCAGAGGAGGAUUCGGGAAGAACCAGAGUCGGGUGGAAAGGGUCAGGAGGAGGAGAUGGGGCGGGGUAGGGGGGACACAUAAGAAGGAGCGAUAGAUAGAGGGAGGGUGGGGGGCACAGAGCAGGGCAGGCACUUUAGAAGGGUCUAGGGCUGGAAGGAGAGGGAGGCGGGUCUCCUGGGGUGAGCGCGGAAUGAGGAGGGCGAUGGUGGGGGUCCUGGUUCUCCGGGGGUUCUGCUCUGCGGUAAGCUAAGGGAUUUCUGACAGCAAAGUAAACUGUGGUGUGCUGAGUUUACCCAGCUCCAAGAAGCACUGUUCGCAGUGUUUAAUGUUUCCCUCCCCCUGAACUAGCUGACAGACACUGAAACUCAGCCCAGUUCUUUAGAGAGGUGAAGGAUGGGGAGGUGAGGAGAGGACUGUCAGCACAGCCGAGCCCCGGACCUGGACCCAGAGACUUGGAUGGGGACGGGCAAGUCCCGCAGACAUAGGCCCGAAGUUCCCCAUCAAGGAGAAACUCCUCUAUCCCACCUCCUCCCACGUGGGUUCCAGCCUGACCCAUGCGAACACGGCUGCCCUGUUUACUUUUCUCAUUGUCCUCUAUUAAAUGCCUGCCCGCAGGGCUGUGCUCCCCACACAGCCGUGCAAAUGUGGACAGACGCAGAGGACACGCACACCGCAAAAGAAAUCAGGAAGACACCAGAGCUCAGCACCCAAGAACAAAAUAAACUCACCCUGGCGUGGUGCCCAGCACGAUUCGCCGGUGGGCUUUAGGCUCAGGGAGAAUGAAUGGGGUGACCUCCCUUCAAUUCAGGGAGGCUCCUGGGGAAGAGAACGGUUUCCGAAAGGCUCUUAAAAUGAAAUGGAGGGGAAAAGUGUGGGCAGAAGGGCAUUUGAGGGAGCACAGAAGACAGAGUAGGGGGUGAGAGAACCAGACGGGGGGAGCAUUCUGCAAAAGAGCGUGCCUGCAGGGGAACAGGAAGACAGGGGAACAGGAGGACAAAGCAGAGUCAGUCCCAGAACAUAGCGGAGGGCUCGAGUCCUGGGCUGCUAUUGUCCCCUGACCUAUCCCACAGGCAGAGAAUUCGGGGGCCACUCUGGGCCCACAGAGUGAGGGGAGGUGGACAUGUGAUAGAAAAGAGGAAGGGGCCAAGGACACUAAGAAGCAGCCUAGGCUGAGGACCAAGACUUGGGAUCCCAAGGGAGCUAUGGGCAUGGAGAGGCAGAGCGAGCGUAGCCAAGUUAUCCAGGGGUGCACAGUGGGGUGCUGGGAUAGCCAAGAUGAGGCAGGGGGUGUGGGGGGGAAAGUAGGAGGUCCAUCACUGCUGGGGGCAAGGGCACUAGAGAAUUUGAGCAUGAAGGAAUGUAAAUGCAUAACUUAGCAAUUAACUUGAACGCCUGGGUCUUGAUUCCCUUACCUCUCCAGAAGUAUUUUAU
Long non-coding RNA from Mustela erminea (ermine), 3293 nucleotides. RefSeq lists it as uncharacterized. The transcript is spliced from 4 exons. The record is from RefSeq and is a predicted model, not a curated record. Lineage: Eukaryota; Metazoa; Chordata; Mammalia; Carnivora; Mustelidae.